This 797-nucleotide ribosomal RNA is filed under the name uncultured Sphaerochaeta sp. RNAcentral's name for it is "bacterial SSU rRNA". It matches the Rfam family "Bacterial small subunit ribosomal RNA", at positions 8 to 795 of the family's 1533-position model. The record is from RNAcentral. Lineage: Bacteria; Pseudomonadati; Spirochaetota; Spirochaetia; Spirochaetales; Sphaerochaetaceae.
AGAGUUUGAUUAUGGCUCAGAACGAACGCUGGCGGCGCGUUUUAAGCAUGCAAGUCGAGCGGCAAGGGUCUUCGGGCCCCUAGAGCGGCGGACGGGUGAGUAACACGUGGACAAUCUGCCCCCCGGCCGGGGAUAGCCCAGGGAAACCUGGAUUAAUACCGGAUGAGACGGGACCCGCGGAGGCGGGAUCCGGGAAAGGCGCUGCGGCGCCGCCGGGGGAUGAGUCUGCGUCCCAUUAGCUUGACGGCGGGGUAACGGCCCACCGUGGCGACGAUGGGUAGCCGGCCUGAGAGGGUGGACGGCCACAUUGGAACUGAGACACGGUCCAGACUCCUACGGGAGGCAGCAGCUAAGAAUCUUCCGCAAUGGGCGAAAGCCUGACGGAGCGACGCCGCGUGAACGAAGAAGGCCGUGAGGUUGUAAAGUUCUUUUCGGGAGGGGGAACAACCGUGGCAGGGAAUGGCCGCGGGAUGACGUGAAUCCCGGAAUAAGCCCCGGCUAACUACGUGCCAGCAGCCGCGGUAACACGUAGGGGGCGAGCGUUGUUCGGAAUCAUUGGGCGUAAAGGGCGUGCAGGCGGUCCUGCAAGUCCGGCGUGAAAGACCCCGGCCCAACCGGGGGGGCGCGCUGGAAACUGCAGGGCUUGAGUACAGGAGGGGAUGCCGGAAUUCCAGGUGUAGGGGUGAAAUCUGUAGAUAUCUGGAGGAACACCAAAGGCGAAGGCAGGCAUCUGGCCAUGUACUGACGCUGAGACGCGAAGGUGCGGGGAGCAAACAGGAUUAGAUACCCUGGUAGUC